GACGAACGCUGGCGGCGUGCUUAACACAUGCAAGUCGAACGCUGAAGCUCAGCUUUUGUUGGGUGGAUGAGUGGCGAACGGGUGAGUAACACGUGAGUAACCUGCCCCCUUCUUUGGGAUAACGCCCGGAAACGGGUGCUAAUACUGGAUAUUCACUGGUCUUCGCAUGGGGGUUGGUGGAAAGGGUUUUUCUGGUGGGGGAUGGGCUCGCGGCCUAUCAGCUUGUUGGUGGGGUGAUGGCCUACCAAGGCUUUGACGGGUAGCCGGCCUGAGAGGGUGACCGGGCACAUUGGGACGGAGAUACGGCCCAGACUCCUACGGGGGGCAGCAGUGGGGAAUAUUGCACAAUGGGCGCAAGCCUGAUGCAGCGACGCCGCGUGAGGGAUGGAGGCCUUCGGGUUGUGAACCUCUUUCGCUCAUGGUCAAGCCGCAACAAUGGUUGUGGUGAGGGUAGUGGGUAAAGAAGCGCCGGCUAACUACGUG
This 483-nucleotide ribosomal RNA is filed under the name uncultured bacterium. RNAcentral describes it as "partial 16S ribosomal RNA". It matches the Rfam family "Bacterial small subunit ribosomal RNA", at positions 28 to 507 of the family's 1533-position model. The record is from RNAcentral.